This 308-nucleotide ribosomal RNA is filed under the name uncultured bacterium. Its description in RNAcentral is "bacterial SSU rRNA". It matches the Rfam family "Bacterial small subunit ribosomal RNA", at positions 487 to 793 of the family's 1533-position model. The record is from RNAcentral.
UAAGCACCGGCUAACUCCGUGCCAGCAGCCGCGGUAAUACGGAGGGUGCGAGCGUUAUCCGGAUUUAUUGGGUUUAAAGGGUCCGUAGGCGGAUUAAUAAGUCAGUGGUGAAAUCCCAUCGCUUAACGAUGGAACUGCCAUUGAUACUGUUAGUCUUGAAUGAGGGUGCAGUGGUUGGAAUGUGUAGUGUAGCGGUGAAAAUGCAUAGAUAUUACACAGAACACCGAUUGCGAAGGCAGAUCACUAACCCUAAGUUGACGCUGAGGGACGAAAGCGUGGGGAGCGAACAGGAUUAGAUACCCUGGUAG